UCUCUGGUGGUCUAGUAGCUAAGACUCUGUGCUUCCAAUGCAGGGGGCCCAGGUUUGAUCCCUGGUCAGGAAA
RNAcentral lists this transfer RNA (73 nucleotides) under Ovis aries (sheep). It matches the Rfam family "tRNA". From Rfam's summary of the family: Transfer RNA (tRNA) molecules are approximately 80 nucleotides in length. Their secondary structure includes four short double-helical elements and three loops (D, anti-codon, and T loops). The record is from Rfam by way of RNAcentral. Lineage: Eukaryota; Metazoa; Chordata; Mammalia; Artiodactyla; Bovidae.